CCUACGGGGGGCAGCAGUGAGGAAUAUUGGUCAAUGGACGAGAGUCUGAACCAGCCAAGUAGCGUGAAGGAUGACUGCCCUAUGGGUUGUAAACUUCUUUUAUAUGGGAAUAAAAUGGUCCACGUGUGGGAUUUUGUAUGUACCAUAUGAAUAAGGAUCGUCUAACUCCGUGCCAGAAGACGCGGUAAUACGGAGGAUCCGGGCGUUAUCCGGAUUUAUUGGGUUUAAAGGGAGCGUAGGUGGAUUGUUAAGUCAGUUGUGAAAGUUUGCGGCUCAACCGUAAAAUUGCAGUUGAAACUGGCAGUCUUGAGUACAGUAGAGGUGGGCGGAAUUCGUGGUGUAUCGGUGAAAUGCUUAGAUAUCACGAAGAACUCCGAUUGUGAAGGCAGUUCACUUGACUGCAACUUACACUGAGGCUCGAAAGUGUGGGUAUCAAACUGUAUUUGAUACCCCAGUAGUC
Molecule: ribosomal RNA, 460 nt
Filed under: uncultured bacterium
Lineage: Bacteria
Description: partial 16S ribosomal RNA
Rfam family: Bacterial small subunit ribosomal RNA
Source: RNAcentral